RNAcentral lists this ribosomal RNA (465 nucleotides) under Burkholderiaceae bacterium oral taxon D14. Its description in RNAcentral is "bacterial SSU rRNA". It matches the Rfam family "Bacterial small subunit ribosomal RNA", at positions 30 to 488 of the family's 1533-position model. Lineage: Bacteria; Pseudomonadati; Pseudomonadota; Betaproteobacteria; Burkholderiales; Burkholderiaceae. The record is from RNAcentral.
AUUGAACGCUGGCGGCAUGCCUUACACAUGCAAGUCGAACGGCAGCACGGAGCUUGCUCUGGUGGCGAGUGGCGAACGGGUGAGUAAUAUAUCGGAACGUACCCUAGAGUGGGGGAUAACGUAGCGAAAGUUACGCUAAUACCGCAUACGAUCUAAGGAUGAAAGUGGGGGAUCGCAAGACCUCAUGCUCGUGGAGCGGCCGAUAUCUGAUUAGCUAGUUGGUAGGGUAAAAGCCUACCAAGGCAUCGAUCAGUAGCUGGUCUGAGAGGACGACCAGCCACACUGGAACUGAGACACGGUCCAGACUCCUACGGGAGGCAGCAGUGGGGAAUUUUGGACAAUGGGCGAAAGCCUGAUCCAGCAAUGCCGCGUGAGUGAAGAAGGCCUUCGGGUUGUAAAGCUCUUUUGUCAGGGAAGAAACGGUGAGAGCUAAUAUCUCUUGCUAAUGACGGUACCUGAAGAAUG